ACAGUUUCUCAGCUGUGAAGUUCAUAAAAUCAAGGAUGAAGAGGACAAAAAAAAAAAAAAAAGCCUCAAAAAUCUGCCUCUACUCAAAGGCACAAGGGCUUAAAGAGCUGUUUUGCUGUUUCAGCUUCUGAUGGUGAAUUUUGAUGACUCAAAUAUUAAGAGAACAGCCUGUGGGGAAAAAAGAAAAUUGUAAGUAAGACAGUGUUUCAUUAUAAUAAUUUGUAAUUUCAUAGACUUUGGUCACAUGUAGCAGAAUUUCCAGCUGCUCCCAAUAAUAGAUGGUCCAUCAUGGGAUUUUUUAUUAUUAUUAAAUAAGUGGUAGUUUAACUUGUUCUAUCCGUACAAGUAGACUAAGUUGGAAUAAUUUAAUUUAAAUCUGGGGAUUCAUUAGGUGGCAUUGUAAUCUCAUUCCCUGAAAGGACUGCGUAUUCCCAUCGUGACCUAUCUGGAGGCUCGGAGGACAUUUGCAUAUAAAUUUGUUGCCUAAUCCAGCUUCCCUAGUUAUGCUGCAUCAACUCAAUUCUAUGCAGCACGAUACUAUUAUUUAAACAAGAAAUUCAUAAACUCUGGAGACUAAAGAAGAGAAAUGCACACACCAGUCUUCUGUUUGCCAAAUCGGUACGUUCCUUAUUCAUUUGCAAUUCUGAAGUACGAAUAUAUGGACCAGGUCCAGUCCAAGUGCUUUUGUUUUCACAUUUUACUUUUACCUACUGUUGUUUCUGUAAGAGCUUGGGCUUCUUUUAAAGGAGAAUGUUUUAAGCAGAGUUACAUGCAGAUGUAACUUAGAUGCACUGGAUAAACCGCCUGAUCAGCAAGCACUUCUUUCUUCAGGACUGGCUAACAAUUCUCCCUCUUGAAUUCCUCUUUUUCUCAAAACUUCAUCAAUUUCUCAAAAAACAAAGCAAAACAAAAAUAAAAAUCCUCUUUUUCAGGCUUGUUAAUAGAGCACACAGCAACCUCAUGAGACUACUCAUACUUUACCCAAACAUUAAUACCCUCAAUUCACAGUUGCUACAAGGAAUCUUUUCUGUUCCCUGCCUUCUUUUUCAUCGGCUUAAACAUUUGUUCUCUAAUUUACCAACUCUUUACUAUGUUAGCAUGGAGCAUUCCACAAACAGCUCUCUCCAUAUUUACUGGGGCUCACAUUCGCACAGUACUACUGAGUGCUCCAUUCCAAGUCAGCUUUAGACAAACCAAAGCAAUACUCAGAAUGCGGCCCUACUGCUAACUCCAAAUAUCAGAUAUCUGCAGAUAUUCACAGGUGGCAACACAUGAGGAUUCCAAAUAUAGAAAGAACAUUUUUAGUUUUCUCUGCAGCCACAUUCCACAUUCAGUUUCAAUUAGUUCUGCAAAACAAGCACUUCCUGCCUCUUCAGACACUUCUGCUUCUAGCAGAAACUAAUCAUCAGGCUGACAAGAGGAGCUGUGUUCAUUCUGCACUGACCAGGAAUAUGUUCCUAGGAAGGGCAUAGCUACUGGAGCACAUGCUGCACUUUAGCUCAAAAACUCUUUUGUAGUACAAAUCAAACACAAAAGAACUCUAAAAAUGAGAAAUAAAACUUGAUUUUGUCAGGAAUCAAUUAAUGUUUUCCUUGAGAAAGCCUAAAUCUUUCAAAGUUGCUUUGCCACAGAGCGCAAGCUAGAAAAUUCAUACACGCUUUGCCUUGGUUUUAUUCAGGAGACCUGCCAAGGUUCCUUGCUGGCAGAAGCUUGCAUGUAAGACUUGCUGUAAAUUUACAGAAAGAAUGAGUCAAAAUGAGUAGAUGCAAACAGAUAGUUGGCUAGCAUCCUUACACACACAUCCAAGAACUGCUAACUGCGGUUAGCAAAAAUCUCUUUAGCAAGAUGAGGCAUAGCGAAGUACACACAGAAAUCUAAGUAAUACAGGUCAAAUCUCUGAUAAAAGAAAAGCAACAUUCUCUCUUCUCAGCACUUGUGCAGGCUAACAGGACACGAAACAGCUCACAAGAAGGAUGAAUAGUGAUAGAAAUGAAUAGUUCAGAGGAUGAGCAGAAAGAAUUCACUGGUGGAAACUGAAAGAAAAUGGGCCUCAGCAAAGAAAAUCUAGGGAGUAACCAGUGUAACUCUUGACCUAUGAGCUACUUUUUUGGCUCCCUCACCUACAAGGAGGUGAGGACGCGAUAGCUGCAUUGUGCAGAUUUUAAUUCUGGAGUUUUAAAAAGCAAGAAACAAAUGCCUCAAAAUCUCAAAAAAAAAGGCUCAAAAUGUAAGAGAAUGGUGUCACAGGAAGAAAAAAACAGAAGCUGGUUUAUGAAGACUAAAGUGAAAAUUGGAAUAUUUUACUCAGUUACCAUUUUUUCUGAUAUAUACCUUCUUUUUUUAUUGACACUUUUGGUCCUAUCACACCAAACAGGGACAAGAAGUAUAUGUGCCACUAAUAUAAUAGAGAAUAAUUCCAGUGUAAAAAAGUUUUCAGUCAAAUAUUCAAAACAAGCAGGACUAAGGUAAAGGGUUGCAACAGAUUAAAAUCAGAGAACUGACAUUUAAUAGCCAGUUUUCAUAUGGAGAUUUUUUUUAGCAUUUAAAAUUCAAGGUAGUAAGUUUUCUGUGUUCCUGUAACUAGUCUUCCAAUGUAACGCCUAUGCUAAGGCUUGUAAUUUCUAUGUUGAGAUAAUGUACUUAAUAGCUGUUCGGUAUACACAGUUUAGGUUGGCAAGGUGUAAUUAGCAGCAAGUUUUAUACUCUAAUUUUGUGUCCCAAAAUCCGUAACUGCUCCAUGGUCCAAUUACUGAAAUACUAAACUCCAUCACUUUAGUGAAGCGUACAGGAAAUGUUGAGUCACAGCCUGAAGCGCUGAUUGAGCACCUGCAGAAAGGACCUGGUCAGCCCUGGGAGCACAGGUGAAGGCAAUGCAGCUGUGUGACUGGAAGUCACGGAGCCUGGGUGCACCUCUCUUAGAUCCAUUUAAGGGCUGACUGCCACAGGGGAAGAUUUCUUCCCGGAGAACUCUCUCUGGUGGAGCUUUCCUCUGUGAACCUGGAAUCUUCUGAUAUGGGUGCCAAGCAUUUAAUGAUGUUGCAGCUAAUCGUGCAAAGGUCCUUCUUUGAGAGACUUAAUGGUACUCCACCAUCUGUGUGACAAGAGAGGGGACUCCACAUUGCGUUGCAUUCUUUGUGAGAGCUUCUAGAGGAGCACCAAAUGCUCUUUCUCUGCUGAACUGUGGGUCUGGUGAAACUUUACUUGUUGUGUGCCUGACUUGAAUAGAAGAUAAUGAUUUCUGGGGAAUUAAAACAGGCAAGAUAGAAGAAGUAGUUGAUUUUCCUUCAUUUUAAGGUUGAAGAGUCAAACAUUUUAGUUAUAAUUAUUGUGCUCAUUAGAAUCAUGGAAUAUCCAGAACUGAAAGGAACCCACAAGGAACACUGAGAUCAACUCUUGAGGCUCCACAAAGGACCAUCCAAAAUCAAGCUCCGUUUCUGAGAUCAUCAUCUAAAACCCCCCUGAUCUCUGGCCAUCCUGGGGCCCUGAUCACAGCUCUGGGAAUCUUUUUCCAUGCCCACCGCCCUCUGGUGCAAAACUUCUUCCUGAUACUCAACCUGCCCCUCCCCUGACACAGCUACACACUGUUCCUUCAGGCCCUGUCACUGUCACGGAGAGCAGAGCUCGGCGCUGCCCCUCCGCUGCAUUUGAGGAGCUGCAGCUGCCAUGAGGUCUCCCCUCAGCUCCUCUGCUCUGGGUUGAGCAAACAAACGGACUCUGUUGCUCUUCAUACAUCUUGCCUUACAGAUCUUUAACCUUCACAGCCUUCCCUUGGAAGCUCUCUAAUAGUCUUGUAUCCCUCUGAUGUUGCAGCGCACAGUGCCCAAGGUGAGACUGCACCAGCUCACAGUAGAGGCUCUUUGCACAUGUUUUACCUCCAUUGCACAUUCCUAACAUUGUAGACUGUUAAUAUCUUCCUUCUUUAGAGCUGAGAUAGGACCUGUGAACACUUUAACCAUAAAAAUCCAGAUACAGGUGGUGUUUGAAGAGCCCUGGAGAGCAGCAGCAUGGAGCUGUCAGCCCUGCAGAGCCAGGAGCUCACUCAGCUAAUGCUUAUUGUGGUUUCCACACAUAGACAUGCCUAUAACUGCACAUAGACACAUAGACACAACCUAACGCUACAGUUCAGCAAGAAAUCCAACCGUGCAAGCUUAAAACAUAGAGGGCUGUGAGUAGUAGCUGUAGGUCUCUUGGGAGGUCCUAGUGGCGGGGCCUUCACCACAGCCUGCUGAUGAGAAGAGCAGCAUGGCACAGCAGCAGUCGUUCUGAGUUCCACAAGCCUCCCAUUGCUUCUGUAUUCAAAUCCAGGUGGCCACAAGUCAGAAGCUUAACCUGAAGCCCUGAAAGGUACAUGUGCUAUUUAUGUCAGCUGUUCCAUGAGAACACUCCUGAGCAUUGCUAUAACCACACCAGCCUCCCUGGCAAUCAAACCUUCUGCUUUGGAAACUGGGUUCCUGUGUAAUGCAGACGCAGCAUUACCUCAGCUACCAAAAUACACAAAGCCAGGAGCCUCAAGCACCAACUGUCCCCUUCCCUCCUGUUCUCUUGCUCCUAAGUAAUGCAAACUUAACCCCUACAUUCAGCAUAUUAAAUCCAAACAAAUGCAACUUUCCACAAACCCUAGCUAAUGGAAACCCAUAUUCUCAGCACAUAUGCUGACACACUCUUAGCCACACACACCACACCUAAUGUGUGAAAGCACAUCGUGUUUGUAGCAGUACCCAACCAAACCCAAAGUUUGCUGCAGGCACCUGCUAUCAGCACACUUCUCUGUCCACAGACUGACCUCUGAAUUUCCGAGAAAAAUACAAGUAGAAAUCAACCAGUAUCAGACCUAGCAAAG
This is a long non-coding RNA of Lagopus muta (rock ptarmigan), 4840 nucleotides long. RefSeq lists it as uncharacterized. NCBI's taxonomy places the organism in Eukaryota, Metazoa, Chordata, Aves, Galliformes, Phasianidae. The record is from RefSeq and is a predicted model, not a curated record. The transcript is spliced from 3 exons.